This 403-nucleotide ribosomal RNA is filed under the name bacterium. RNAcentral describes it as "partial 16S ribosomal RNA". It matches the Rfam family "Bacterial small subunit ribosomal RNA", at positions 355 to 776 of the family's 1533-position model. The record is from RNAcentral.
UGGGGAAUAUUGCACAAUGGAGGGAACUCUGAUGCAGCGACGCCGCGUGAACGAAGAAGGCUUUCGAGUCGUAAAGAUCUUUUAUAUGGGAAGAUAAUGACGGUACCAUAAGAAAAAGCCCCGGCUCACUACGUGCCAGCAGCCGCGGUAAUACGUAGGGGGCUAGCGUUGUCCGGAAUCACUGGGCGUAAAGGGUUCGCAGGCGGAAAUGCAAGUCAGGUGUAAAAGGCAGUAGCUUAACUACUGUAAGCAUUUGAAACUGCAUAUCUUGAGAAGAGUAGAGGUAAGUGGAAUUUUUAGUGUAGCGGUGAAAUGCGUAGAUAUUAAAAAGAAUACCGGUGGCGAAGGCGGCUUACUGGGCUCAUUCUGACGCUGAGGAACGAAAGCGUGGGUAGCAAACAGG